CCUACGGGAGGCAGCAGUAGGGAAUCUUCCGCAAUGGACGAAAGUCUGACGGAGCAACGCCGCGUGAACGAUGAAGGCCUUCGGGUCGUAAAGUUCUGUUGUUAGGGAAGAACAAGUGCUAGUUGAAUAAGCUGGCACCUUGACGGUACCUAACCAGAAAGCCACGGCUAACUACGUGCCAGCAGCCGCGGUAAUACGUAGGUGGCAAGCGUUGUCCGGAAUUAUUGGGCGUAAAGCGCGCGCAGGCGGUUUCUUAAGUCUGAUGUGAAAGCCCCCGGCUCAACCGGGGAGGGUCAUUGGAAACUGGGAAACUUGAGUGCAGAAGAGGAAAGUGGAAUUCCAAGUGUAGCGGUGAAAUGCGUAGAGAUUUGGAGGAACACCAGUGGCGAAGGCGACUUUCUGGUCUGUAACUGACGCUGAGGCGCGAAAGCGUGGGGAGCAAACAGGAUUAGAUACCCUGGUAGUCCACGCUGUAAACGAUGAGUGCUAAGUGUUAGAGGGUUUCCGCCUUUAGUGCUGAAGUUAACGCAUUAAGCACUCCGCCUGGGGAUACGGUCGCAAGACUGAAACUUAAGGAAUUGACG
Molecule: ribosomal RNA, 584 nt
Filed under: uncultured bacterium
Lineage: Bacteria
Description: bacterial SSU rRNA
Rfam family: Bacterial small subunit ribosomal RNA
Source: RNAcentral